RNAcentral lists this ribosomal RNA (298 nucleotides) under uncultured eukaryote. RNAcentral's name for it is "partial large subunit ribosomal RNA". It matches the Rfam family "Eukaryotic large subunit ribosomal RNA", at positions 40 to 350 of the family's 3401-position model. The record is from RNAcentral.
AUAUAACUAGGCGGAGGAAAAGAAACUAACAAGGAUUCCCUUAGUAACGGCGAGUGAAGCGGGAAGAGCUCAGAGCGAAAAUCUUCGGAAUUGUGCUCUAGAGAGGCCUGAUCAACUCUGAUAGCGGGUAAAGUCUCCUGGAAUGGAGCGCCUAGGAGGGUUACAGCCCCGUCUAUGCCUGCUUGGUGAGUGUACGAUCGGUCUUCAACGAGUCGAGUUGUUUGGGAUUGCAGCUCUAAGUGGGUGGUAAAUUCCAUCUAAAGCUAAAUAUUGGUGGGAGACCGAUAGCGCACAAGUA